GUAGGGAAUCUUCCACAAUGGACGAAAGUCUGAUGGAGCAACGCCGCGUGAGUGAAGAAGGUCUUCGGAUCGUAAAACUCUGUUGUUAGAGAAGAACGUGCAUGAUAGUAACUGAUCAUGUAAUGACGGUAUCUAACCAGAAAGCCACGGCUAACUACGUGCCAGCAGCCGCGGUAAUACGUAGGUGGCAAGCGUUGUCCGGAUUUAUUGGGCGUAAAGGGAACGCAGGCGGUUUUUUAAGUCUGAUGUGAAAGCCUUCGGCUUAACCGAAGAAUAGCAUUGGAAACUGGAAGACUUGAGUGCAGAAGAGGAGGGUGGAAUUCCAUGUGUAGCGGUGAAAUGCGUAGAUAUAUGGAGGAACACCAGUGGCGAAAGCGGCUCUCUGGUCUGUAACUGACGCUGAGGUUCGAAAGCGUGGGUAGCAAACAGGAUUAGAAACCCCAGUAGUCC
This 450-nucleotide ribosomal RNA is filed under the name uncultured bacterium. Its description in RNAcentral is "partial 16S ribosomal RNA". It matches the Rfam family "Bacterial small subunit ribosomal RNA", at positions 354 to 796 of the family's 1533-position model. The record is from RNAcentral.